CGGCAGCACGGGAGCUUGCUCCUGGUGGCGAGUGGCGAACGGGUGAGUAAUGUAUCGGAACGUACCCAGUCGUGGGGGAUAACUCUCCGAAAGGAGAGCUAAUACCGCAUACGUCCUGAGGGGGAAAGCGGGGGACCUGCAAAGGCCUCGCGCGAUUGGAGCGGCCGAUAUCGGAUUAGCUAGUUGGCGGGGUAAAGGCCCACCAAGGCGACGAUCCGUAGCGGGUCUGAGAGGACGACCCGCCACACUGGAACUGAGACACGGUCCAGACCCCUACGGGAGGCAGCAGUGGGGAAUUUUGGACAAUGGGGGCAACCCUGAUCCAGCCAUUCCGCGUGAGUGAAGAAGGCCUUCGGGUUGUAAAGCUCUUUCAGCAGGAGCGAAACGGUCGUUUUUAAUACAGACGGCUAAUGACGGUACCUGCAGAAGAAGCACCGGCUAACUACGUGCCAGCAGCCGCGGUAAUACGUAGGGUGCGAGCGUUAAUCGGAAUUACUGGGCGUAAAGCGUGCGCAGGCGGCGACAUAAGACAGAUGUGAAAUCCCCGGGCUCAACCUGGGAACUGCGUUUGUGACUGUGUUGCUAGAGUGUAGCAGAGGGGGGUGGAAUUCCACGUGUAGCAGUGAAAUGCGUAGAUAUGUGGAGGAACACCGAUGGCGAAGGCAGCCCCCUGGGUUAACACUGACGCUCAUGCACGAAAGCGU
RNAcentral lists this ribosomal RNA (704 nucleotides) under uncultured soil bacterium. RNAcentral describes it as "bacterial SSU rRNA". It matches the Rfam family "Bacterial small subunit ribosomal RNA", at positions 67 to 762 of the family's 1533-position model. The record is from RNAcentral.